UACAGAGGGGGCAAGCGUUAUUCGGAAUUAUUGGGCGUAAAGCGCGCGUAGGUGGCCUCAUAAGUCCGCUGUGAAAGUCAAAGGCUCAACCUUUGAAAGCCGGUGGAUACUGUGAGGCUAGAGUACGGAAGAGGCGAGUGGAAUUCCCGGUGUAGCGGUGAAAUGCGCAGAUAUCGGGAGGAACACCAAUGGCGAAGGCAGCUCGCUGGGACGGUACUGACGCUGAGACGCGAAAGCGUGGGGAGCAAACAGG
RNAcentral lists this ribosomal RNA (253 nucleotides) under uncultured bacterium. RNAcentral's name for it is "partial 16S ribosomal RNA". It matches the Rfam family "Bacterial small subunit ribosomal RNA", at positions 524 to 776 of the family's 1533-position model. The record is from RNAcentral.